AUCGUAUAGACAUGGCCGACGCGGAUCAAAGUGUAUUCUCUAUUCUUAUCAGCUUAAAAUCUGAUACAGAAUGUAUUUGGACCCAAGAUAUUAAACUUAUUUUUGCAAGUUGGCGGAGUGCGUGAAGCCUCCGUCACCUUCGCCGCGGGUCGGCCCGGUAUUGCACUACCUUUGGGAUUUUUGGUCUGAGGAAA
Small nuclear RNA from Dermacentor silvarum, 194 nucleotides. RefSeq annotates it as U2 spliceosomal RNA. The record is from RefSeq and is a predicted model, not a curated record. The transcript has a single exon. Lineage: Eukaryota; Metazoa; Arthropoda; Arachnida; Ixodida; Ixodidae.